GGCCAUCCCUCACCCUUACUUUCAUCCUACAAAAGAUAAAACGGAUCUACAAAAAGAAAAAAACAAGGCCAUAUUUCUCUUUCAUUUUUCCACCGGAUCUAUUUCUCCUUUCAACACUUCAUAUCACCAUUGAACAACAUAAACCGAAUGUAUAGCCACCAUUGAUUCUCAUCCAACAACAAUAUUCUUGUUCUCUCAUUUACACAACUAUGACUCUGACCGAUCCGCACAUCUCACGACACCGAGGCGCACAAACCUGCUCUGCAACUGUGAAAGCCCCACUACUACCAAGUCAUGAUCUCGAUCCGUCGUCGCCUUCGAAGCUACCGGACCUGAGUGUUCUACUAUUGGAGCAUUUGGUCAGCAUGAGUCUUUUAAACCCACAAUCAAAAGAUCAAAAAGUAUUUGGUCAGAGCUCGACUAAAGGACCUAGAGGCUCUACUGUUGGAGGAGGAGCAUUCGGUCAACACGGCCCUUUCAUGCCCACCAUGAGGGGUUUGAUAAAAAAUAGUACAGCUGAAAUAAAGUGGCAAACAUGCUUAUCUUGAUUCUCCUGCUGGGGUGAGUUUUUCUUACUCCACCAACAGUUAUGACUAUUUGCUUGUUCCUUAUGAAAUGAGAGGAAGGGAUCACCUUGUUUUCCUUCAGCAUUGGUUCAACAAAUUCCCAGAUUUCAAGACCAAUGAAUUCUUCAUGGCAGGAGAGGGCUAUGCAGAUAAGAAAUACUCUUUUGGAGUAAGAUAAUGACUAUAACUCCACGGAUGAUUUAUGUGGUCAUGCUUCUAUUAGAAAGGAGUAUAUCACUAAAAAAAAAUAUAGUGAAGCUUGCGAGGAUACUAAUACAAAGAUGUCCAUUGAGGUGAAUGGUUAUACUAACACAUUCAAUGUGUAUGCUAACACUUGCCUAGCCCCUCGAGAAAAUGAAAGUUACCUACAGGGACAUGGUCUUUAAUACGUGAAAAGGUGAAAGAUUUUCGAUUCAGACAAGGGAUUAUCAAACCUGGUUUCAAGGUUGUCAGAUCGUUGGACGGACCAAAGUUUUUCAAGACAUCCUAACACAUGCUACAAUAUUAGGAGAAGGUCAUCCAGUUGGAGUUUCUUAACUGAAGAAUACGCUUCUGAUGCUGAAGACUUUUUUAGAAGGAAAACCACUGCCAGAAAGUCACCCUUUUACUUUUAAGAAUAGGCACAAAAGUUAAUAAAUUAGUGAUGUUUGAAAAAUUCUAUUAGACCGUCAUUAUUGUGCAAAAAUAAAAAUUCUCUUGCUGUUUUUUUUUAAUUUAUUGUUUGAUUAAACUAUUUAGAGAAUAAUUUGGUGUA
RNA transcript from Vicia villosa (hairy vetch), 1320 nucleotides. RefSeq lists it as uncharacterized. The record is from RefSeq and is a predicted model, not a curated record. NCBI's taxonomy places the organism in Eukaryota, Viridiplantae, Streptophyta, Magnoliopsida, Fabales, Fabaceae. The transcript is spliced from 9 exons.